This 468-nucleotide ribosomal RNA is filed under the name uncultured bacterium. Its description in RNAcentral is "partial 16S ribosomal RNA". It matches the Rfam family "Bacterial small subunit ribosomal RNA", at positions 28 to 507 of the family's 1533-position model. The record is from RNAcentral.
GACGAACGCUGGCGGCGUGCUUAACACAUGCAAGUCGAACGGAAAGGCCCUGCUUUUGUGGGUUGCUCGAGUGGCGAACGGGUGAGUAACACGUGAGUAACCUGCCCUUGACUUUGGGAUAACUUCAGGAAACUGGGGCUCAUACCGCAUAUGAGCUCCUGCUGCAUGGUGGGGGUUGGAAAGUUUCGGCGGUUGGGGAUGGACUCGCGGCUUAUCCGCUUGUUGGUGGGGUAGUGGCUUACCAAGGCUUUGACGGGUAGCCGGCCUGAGAGGGUGAACGGCCACAAGGGGACUGAGAUACGGCCCAGAAUGCUACGGGAGGCAGCAGUGGGGAAUAUUGCACAAUGGGCGGAAGCGUGAUGCAGCAGCGCCGGGUGCGGAAUGACGGCCUUCGGGUUGUAAACAGCUUUGGCAUGUGACGAAGAGUGAGUGACGGUAAUGGGUAAAGAAGCAACGGCUAACUACGUG